UUAAUUAAAUUUAUAUUUAUUAUAUUACACGAAGCUGAAGGAGCUAGUUUUUUAAUUUAUUAGAUACAGAGGUGUCGCAUAACUUUAAAGAUUUAAAAUUAGGAGUGACAGGCUUUACACAUUUAGUGAUAACUUGAUUACUAGUAAAGGUAUUAGUACAUAAACAUUUUGGAAAUGAUAAGGUUUUCAAAUAGAAUUAAUUAUGAUAAGAAGAAUAUAUAUGGUUUAGUCACUUAUGUAAUGAUAUAUUAUAAUUAUACUUUAUGAAUUAUUUAAAAUACCAGUAAAUGUUAUAAUUAUAAUAAACAAAUAUAAUGUUAAUAUUAGUAACAAUUAAAUAUUAUUAAUGAACUCGGCAAAAGUCCUUUAACUGUUUAUCAAAAACAUAGCCGUAUGUACAAAUAUAUGGUGAUUUCUGCUCCAUGAAGUUUAAAUAGCCGCAGUACCCUGACUGUGCAAAGGUAGCGCAAUCAAUUGGCUUUUAAUUGAAGUCCUGUAUGAAAGAAAAUAUAAGGGGGCUACUUUAUCAGUAAUAUUAUAUGAAUUUUCUAAUUAAGUGCAAAUACUUAUAUUUAAAUAAUAGACGAGAAGACCCUAGAAAUUUUGAGAAUUAUUCUUUUUGUUGGGGCAACAAAGUAGUAAAAUAUAACCUACUAUUAUUACAUGUAAGAUAUAACUUGUAAGAUUAAAUUACUCUAGGGAUAACAGCAUAAUCAAUGAAAGUUUGUGACCUCGAUGUUGGACUAGGGAAUUAACAUUUAGAAG
RNAcentral lists this ribosomal RNA (765 nucleotides) under Austrochloritis niangala. Its description in RNAcentral is "partial large subunit ribosomal RNA". Lineage: Eukaryota; Metazoa; Mollusca; Gastropoda; Stylommatophora; Camaenidae. The record is from RNAcentral.